UCCUUUCCAUCCCUGCCCUUAGAAACCUAAUCGAUGCCCUCGAAACUAACUACACGCCUCCUCAUCUUCCCUGUUCAGUUAAACCCUUUAUGAAGCCAGUUAAAGCACCUACCAGUUAAACCCUUUAUGAAGCCAGUUAAAGCACCCUCGAAACUAACUACACGCCUCCUCAUCAUCCCCAAUUGAGUAUUUUGUUGUUUGUUAGGGUUUGAGAUUUGAGAUUUAGGUCAAUGGCUCUCCUCGGUAAAUACCCAAUGCUCCUUCAUCUUCUAUAAAACUCUACAAGAACAUAAGCCUGGAUCGUAAGAAGCAUUCUCAGGAUCACCACUUUUCCCAUUCAAGAACAGAAGGGGGGUCAAGAACAUCAUCGCAUAGUUCGUAAUUCUGGUUACGUUUAAGCAGUCGGAAUCGGCGAAAAAAGCGUGUGAAGAUCCGACGCCGGUGAUUAACGGCCGUCGUGUGAAUUGUAACCUAGCGUCGCUCGGUGCUCGCCGUCAGAGAACGUUAACCGUUGUUCACCGCCACCGCACCACCAAUCCGUUUAGUCCAAAAUAAGAUCAUUUGGGAAGAAUGAUGAUGGAAGAGAAAAUCGGUCAGAUGGUUCAGAUUCAAAUGCUUGCAGCUACUCCUGAUAUCAUGAGGAAACUUACUAAUUGGUGGAGGGAGUGUUGAUUGGAUUAAUAUGCUACACGAGCUCCAACAUUUUCUACAUGAUCAUGGAUCCAAUGAUUUAUGGAAUUGUUGCUGAUCAUAGUCACAACAAUGUUAUUUAUGCUACAAUAUUUCCACAUAUUAUUGGCCACAUAGAUACCAGGGACACUAAUCUUGUGAAGAGAAUAGGUGCAACCACUAUCGCUGAAGUCAGAGCUAUCGGAAUUUCAUAUGCAUUUGCUCCUUGUAUUGAUGUAAGUAUAAUAAAAUAUUUAAGUAUGUGUCUAUAAAGAACUGUUUUUAUAGGUAUGCAGAGAUCUAAUAUGGGGACGUGCUAUGAGAGUUACAGCGAGGAUAAUGAACUUGUUCAAAGUAUGAAUAAGAUUGUAUUAGGAUUGCAAGGUGAAAAUUUUCAGGGAUCACGGUUGGGUGUCCCAUAUGUUGAUAGGGUUGGUGGUGGAGGUGAUGAUUUCAUAUAUUUAAACUUCUAAUUUACAUACUUAAGGUAAAUCAUAAAUUGAUGAUAUCUUUGCAUUCAAGCAGUUUAAAUGGGCAGAUUAUAACAAGUAGUAUUUAGCGUGCAACAAUACAAGUCGGUUCGGGUCGGGUCGGGUCGUGCUGAGUGUAGGCUGCCAUAGUUAGAGAAGUUCCUUUUCACUUAUUUAGUUUGUUUUAAGUCUCCAUUUAUCUUCAUCAUUAGCUGUAGAAACUCACUUUCCUGUUUGAAUGUAACCUAACCAAGUUGCCCUAUUGAUGGAGCAUGUGCAGUGGGUUUAUCGUUUGAUCAUUCUUAUUAUAUCUUGAUUAAUAACAUAUAUGACUUGUGAUCAAACUUUUUUAACUAGGGUUUAUUUUAUUUAAAUUACUUAUUUCUUUAUCAUUAUUUUUUAACCCCAUACAAAAUACAGUGGGUUUGACUCUCACCACAAACUUUCACAUAUGUUACUGCAGGCUUGGAAGUGGA
This 1615-nucleotide long non-coding RNA is filed under the name Helianthus annuus (common sunflower). The record is from RNAcentral. Lineage: Eukaryota; Viridiplantae; Streptophyta; Magnoliopsida; Asterales; Asteraceae.